Molecule: ribosomal RNA, 358 nt
Filed under: uncultured bacterium
Lineage: Bacteria
Description: bacterial SSU rRNA
Rfam family: Bacterial small subunit ribosomal RNA
Source: RNAcentral
UGAGGGAAUAUUGGGACAAUGGAGGCAACUCUGAUCCAGCCAUGCCGCGUGAAGGACUAAGGCCCUAUGGGUCGUAAACUUCUUUUGACGCAGAGCAAUAAGGAUUACGUGUAGUCUGAUGAGAGUAUGCGUCGAAUAAGCAUCGGCUAACUCCGUGCCAGCAGCCGCGGUAAUACGGAGGAUGCGAGCGUUAUCCGGAUUUAUUGGGUUUAAAAGGGUGCGCAGGCGGACUCGUCAAGUCAGCGGUAAAAAUUCGGGGCUCAACCCCGUCCUGCCGUUGAAACUGCGAGACUGGAGUGCGACAGAGGAAGGCGGAAUGCGAGGUGUAGCGGUGAAAUGCAUAGAUAUCGCGCAGAAC